CUCUUAUCCAGAGUGGCGGAGGGACUGGCCCGAUGAAGCCCGGCAACCUCGGUGCAGAUCAGUGUACCGGAUGGUGCCAAUUCCUGCAGAAACCCCGGUUUCUGAAAGAUAAGAG
Molecule: non-coding RNA, 115 nt
Organism: Thermoactinomyces sp. Gus2-1
Lineage: Bacteria; Bacillati; Bacillota; Bacilli; Caryophanales; Thermoactinomycetaceae
Source: Rfam